This 30-nucleotide non-coding RNA is filed under the name Rattus norvegicus (Norway rat). The record is from RNAcentral. Lineage: Eukaryota; Metazoa; Chordata; Mammalia; Rodentia; Muridae.
UAGCUCAAAAAGCUGCACAGUUUUCCAGAA